UACGGGGGGAGCAAGCGUUGUUCGGAUUUACUGGGCGUAAAGGGCGCGUAGGCGGCCAGUGCAAGUCAGUUGUGAAAUCUCCGAGCUUAACUCGGAAAGGUCAACUGAUACUGCUCGGCUAGAGUGCGGAAGGGGCAACUGGAAUUCUCGGUGUAGCGGUGAAAUGCGUAGAUAUCGAGAGGAACACCUGCGGCGAAGGCGGGUUGCUGGGCUGACACUGACGCUGAGGCGCGAAAGCUAGGGGAGCGAACGGG
Molecule: ribosomal RNA, 254 nt
Filed under: uncultured bacterium
Lineage: Bacteria
Description: partial 16S ribosomal RNA
Rfam family: Bacterial small subunit ribosomal RNA
Source: RNAcentral